CCUACGGGUGGCAGCAGUGAGGAAUAUUGGUCAAUGGACGAGAGUCUGAACCAGCCAAGUAGCGUGAAGGAUGACUGCCCUAUGGGUUGUAAACUUCUUUUAUAUGGGAAUAAAAUGUUCCACGUGUGGGAUUUUGUAUGUACCAUAUGAAUAAGGAUCGGCUAACUCCGUGCCAGCAGCCGCGGUAAUACGGAGGAUCCGAGCGUUAGCCGGAUUUAUUGGGUUUAAAGGGAGCGUAGGUGGAUUGUUAAGUCAGUUGUGAAAGUUUGCGGCUCAACCGUAAAAUUGCAGUUGAAACUGGCAGUCUUGAGUACAGUAGAGGUGGGCGGGAUUCGUGGUGUAGCGGUGAAAUGCUUAGAUAUCACGAAGAACUCCGAUUGCGAAGGCAGUUCACUGGACUGCAACUGACACUGAGGCUCGAAAGUGUGGGUAUCAAACAGGAUUAGAUACCCCUGUAGUC
This 460-nucleotide ribosomal RNA is filed under the name uncultured bacterium. Its description in RNAcentral is "partial 16S ribosomal RNA". It matches the Rfam family "Bacterial small subunit ribosomal RNA", at positions 338 to 795 of the family's 1533-position model. The record is from RNAcentral.